Camellia sinensis is the source of this 1122-nucleotide long non-coding RNA. RefSeq lists it as uncharacterized. The record is from RefSeq and is a predicted model, not a curated record. NCBI's taxonomy places the organism in Eukaryota, Viridiplantae, Streptophyta, Magnoliopsida, Ericales, Theaceae.
UGAGAGGAUCACUCUACAAAUUUCACUCUAGAGCAUCCAGACCCCCGAGAUUGUGGUUUCGCAUUCAAGGAAAAGAAAAAAAAUAUGCAAAUCACACCAUCUCAAGCGCUAUAUAGGAGGCUUUAUCGAUGUUUUAUAUUUGUUUUUUUACUACGUCAAAGAAGGUUUAGGAUGAGUUUGGUUAAUGGAUUUUGGAAGAGAUUUGGAAAGGAAAAUUCAAAAUGUGUCAUUUGGUUGUGAUAUUAGCAAUGAUUGUGGGGCGUGAAUCCUGAUGGCGUGCAAGCACGUUCAGGGUGACAAGCAAAACCAAUGAGAAGGCAAAAACAAAAUUAGAUAACUGGUUCAGUCUGAAAGAGAGCCAUUCCAUUGCUGACACAUUAUGGAACCAUGACCUUGAGUGGUUGUCAAUAAGGCUGAGAUUUUUAUCAAUGAAGCGAUCUUUUUGGUCAAAAGCGCGGAUUGUUGCUGCUCCUGAUAGUGAUUCUCCAAAGUGGUGGAGGAUUGGAGCUAGUUGUAUCCCUGAUAAGCGGCCCAGUUCUCUUGCAGUUGAUUGCUGUUACUGGAAUGAAGAUUGCAAAUACUUCCCAUGCUACCUGUGACAUGACAGCGAUGGUCCCCAAAAGCUGAAUUAUUGAGAAAGCGCACCAACCUAAUCUGUUUGCCAUCUCCAAGUCUACUACACUUUGGUCUGUAGAUGCCUGUGAAUAAAGAUAACUAGUUGUUAUAUGCUUUCAUUUAUUUUAUGAACACAACAUAUAAGUAUUGAAAAGAAACAAAUGUAUUGAAAUUUAUGGGAUUUAUGUUAGUGAAAAUGAAUGAGCAAGACUUAUCAUUAGCUGGAACUUCACCUUAACAGCUGCAAAAUCAAAACUAUCUUUUUCAUUUGUUCUUUUUGCCGUUUGCUUUUAUUUAUACAUAUUUGUUAUCCUGUCUAUGAUGGAGGUAUGACUGACAAAUUUGACUGCAGUCAGAAAGCAAUGGUCAGUUUCUGGCAUUACAAUAAUGGAGGACUUGAGGUAGUGUAGUUUCUAUACCUCAAAAAGUUUUUACCUUCAUGUGGGGCACUGGUACCUUUAAUACACUAGUAAUAGUAAAUUUGUGAUUUAUUGAUUCUGAAUCAAA